GGCGGGUCUCCCCGCAUCGCAGGGUGGUGAACCUGGUCAGGUCCGGAAGGAAGCAGCCACAGCCAUU
This 67-nucleotide signal recognition particle RNA is filed under the name Accumulibacter sp. Its description in RNAcentral is "partial signal recognition particle sRNA small type". It matches the Rfam family "Bacterial small signal recognition particle RNA", at positions 1 to 67 of the family's 97-position model. Rfam says of the family: The signal recognition particle (SRP) is a universally conserved ribonucleoprotein involved in the co-translational targeting of proteins to membranes. Archaeal SRP consists of a 7S RNA and homologues of the eukaryotic SRP19 and SRP54 proteins. In most bacteria, the SRP consists of a 4.5S RNA and the Ffh protein (a homologue of the eukaryotic SRP54 protein). The record is from RNAcentral. Lineage: Bacteria; Pseudomonadati; Pseudomonadota; Betaproteobacteria.